Molecule: ribosomal RNA, 170 nt
Filed under: Indosasa sinica
Lineage: Eukaryota; Viridiplantae; Streptophyta; Magnoliopsida; Poales; Poaceae
Description: 5.8S ribosomal RNA
Rfam family: 5.8S ribosomal RNA
About the family: 5.8S ribosomal RNA (5.8S rRNA) is a component of the large subunit of the eukaryotic ribosome. It is transcribed by RNA polymerase I as part of the 45S precursor that also contains 18S and 28S rRNA.
Source: RNAcentral
ACACGACUCUCGGCAACGGAUAUCUCGGCUCUCGCAUCGAUGAAGAACGUAGCGAAAUGCGAUACCUGGUGUGAAUUGCAGAAUCCCGCGAACCAUCGAGUCUUUGAACGCAAGUUGCGCCCGAGGCCCUCGGGCCGAGGGCACGCCUGCCUGGGCGUCACGCCAAAAGA